CUCAUAGGCCCUAGCGCUACGGCCUCUUGGAUUUCGACUCUUACAAAACAAAACCCACUUAAAACCUCUCCUUCGCUCCUGAGAAGGCAAGAUGAAAGCCAUCAGAGUUACUAGGCUCUUGAUCUCCUCCCCUGCCCUCUCCUCCGCCGCGUCGCGCCUCCACAUCAAUCCCAUUUCUCUAUCCUACUGCACCAGUUUUCCCGACAAGGCCUCCUCCUUCUCUGAGGACAAAGCCGAGCCGGACUUUGAUAGCAAGGAAUUCUCUAUUCCCUUUUCUUCCUCCACCGCCACCGCUACGCACUCUUCUUUUGUGGGAAAGAAGAAGAAGCGCCAAAUCUGGACUGAUAAAUAUCGGGCGAAAGCCGAUCAGAUCCUCUUCGGCGAAGCAAAACCAUCUUGCUCGCAGUUUGAGGAAGAGGAUGACGAGGAGAAAGAAAGGGCGAAGAUGCUCGCAAAGGCCCUUCUUCAGGCGGCGUUGCUAGCGCCGGACGAUGCGGACGAUGAAAAUAUGAUAGUUAAGUUGGAGGACCAGAAAUCGCUCUCUGUUGGGAUCGUUGGUGCUCCUAAUGCUGGGAAGUCCUCCCUUACCAAUUCGAUGGUUGGGACAAAAAUUGCUGCUGUCUCGAGAAAGACCAACACUACCACUCAUGAGGUUUUAGGAGUGAUGACAAAAGGAAAUACACAAAUAUGUUUUUUUGACACUCCAGGACUUAUGAUAGGACAUCAUGGAUACCCUUACAGAACAGAUGUUAAAGUUCGCGUUGAAAGUGCUUGGAGUACUAUCAAUUUGUAUGAGUUGUUGAUAGUUAUCUUUGAUGUCCAUAGGCAUAUUGCCAAAUCGGAUACAAGGGUGAUAAACUUAAUUAAAAAUCUUGGAGCUAAUGCUCACCAUAAACAAAAGCGUAUUUUAUGUAUGAACAAGGUUGACCUUGUAGAAGAUAAGAAGGACCUGCUAAAGGUUGCCAAAGAGUUUGAGGAUCUUCCUGGUUAUGAAAGAUACUUCAUGAUAUCCGGGCUUAAAGGAUCUGGUGUGAAUGAUCUUGUUCACUAUUUGAUGGACCAGGCAGUUAAAAGACCAUGGGAUGAAGAACCGAGCAUGAUGACCGAAGAGAGUAUGAAAACUAUUUCUCUGGAGGUUGUUAGAGAAAGGAUGUUGGACCAUAUUCACCAGGAAAUUCCUUAUGUUAUUGAACAUCGCCUGAUGGAUUGGAAAGAGUUAAGAGAUGGUUCCCUUAGGGUGGAGCAACACUUCAUCACCCCAAAGCAAAGCCAGCGACAAAUUCUUGUUGGAAAAAAUGGCUCUAAAAUUGGGAGGAUAGGCAUUGAAGCCAAUGAAGAGUUGCGGUCAUUAUUCAAGAGGGAGGUACAUCUCAUUCUCCAAGUCAGAGUUGCUCGAAAAAAGAAUGCGUGAGGGCCGUUUGAAUGAAACUGUUUAAACAUAUGAAUGGGCAGAUGAUGACAUGAAGAAUCUGGAGGUGGUGGAACAAUUGACUUUGGGGAAUAAUGUAAAUGCAUGAGCUUAAUAUCUAAAUGCUCCUUUUCAAAUAGAAAACAUUGGAGUUUGUUUUUCAAGCUAAUUUUUUAGGCUUCACUUUUAACACCUUGGAAACUCUGCAUAGCCUUUGAUAGAGUAUCUGGACGAGUUACCAGCCCAACAGCAACCUUGCCCCUACUCAAGCCAACGCCAAUAUAUGCAUCAUCCCCCUUGCAUGCGGCCACUACAAGCUUAACUUUAAUCUGUGCUUGGCCGUGCAUUUUGUAUGCUAUGCAGAUGGAAAAAAUGCUUGUUGUAGUUUCACUAUGACUGAUUUGGAGGUUAUUCGCACUUAAUGCUACAUGUUUUGGACCUUCAA
Molecule: RNA transcript, 1853 nt
Organism: Phalaenopsis equestris
Lineage: Eukaryota; Viridiplantae; Streptophyta; Magnoliopsida; Asparagales; Orchidaceae
Gene name: GTP-binding protein ERG
Exons: 10
Source: RefSeq, a predicted model, not a curated record